GGUGAUUCAUCACACACUUAAGAGAAGACCAGCCUCAUUUCCGCCCCAGCUUGAGGGGAAAUGAGCGCUCUGUUCUGUGGCAACAGGUCUGCGAGAGGGAGGGGCCCCACAGCCACAGCUCUGGCCCAGAUGAGCCCACCCGUACCAGAUGAGCCGAGGCUGGCUUGAACUAUGUCCUGCUGCCUCCUUGCCCUUCUCCUGGGCACUUUCUUAGGUGUCAGCGCUCAGACCAUCCACCAAUGGCCACCUGUCAGGGUGCGGCUUGUGGGCAGCCCGCUCUCCCUGGAGUGCAUCGUGAAGGGGGAAUCAAACCCUUAUCUAUAUUGGUACCGGCAGGCCGAGGGAGGGCCCCCCCAGCUGCUCUUCUACUCCCUAAAUAUUCACCAGGUAGACCCUGAGGCACCACGGAACUUCACAGCCUCUAGGCCCCAGGACGGCCAGUUCAUCUUGAGUUCUCAGAAGCUCCUCCUCAGUGACUCUGGCUUCUACCUCUGCGCCUGGAGUCUCACACUGAGCCCGGCGAGGUAGACAUCUGUGCAAAAA
Lynx canadensis (Canada lynx) is the source of this 543-nucleotide non-coding RNA. The record is from the annotation of a RefSeq genome assembly. Lineage: Eukaryota; Metazoa; Chordata; Mammalia; Carnivora; Felidae.